AUCCGGGUUGCGGACAGUGUCUGGUGGGUAGUUUGACUGGGGCGGUCUCCUCCUAAAGAGUAACGGAGGAGCACGAAGGUUGGCUAAUCCUGGUCGGACAUCAGGAGGUUAGUGCAAUGGCAUAAGCCAGCUUGACUGCGAGCGUGACGGCGCGAGCAGGUGCGAAAGCAGGUCAUAGUGAUCCGGUGGUUCUGAAUGGAAGGGCCAUCGCUCAACGGAUAAAAGGUACUCCGGGGAUAACAGGCUGAUACCGCCCAAGAGUUCAUAUCGACGGCGGUGUUUGGCACCUCGAUGUCGGCUCAUCACAUCCUGGGGCUGAAGUAGGUCCCAAGGGUAUGGCUGUUCGCCAUUUAAAGUGGUACGCGAGCUGGGUUUAGAACGUCGUGAGACAGUUCGGUCCCUAUCUGCCGUGGGCGCUGGAGAACUGAGGGGGGCUGCUCCUAGUACGAGAGGACCGGAGUGGACGCAUCACUGGUGUUCGGGUUGUCAUGCCAAUGGCACUGCCCGGUAGCUAAAUGCGGAAGAGAUAAGUGCUG
This 536-nucleotide ribosomal RNA is filed under the name Salmonella enterica. Its description in RNAcentral is "partial 23S ribosomal RNA". It matches the Rfam family "Bacterial large subunit ribosomal RNA", at positions 2238 to 2773 of the family's 2925-position model. The record is from RNAcentral. Lineage: Bacteria; Pseudomonadati; Pseudomonadota; Gammaproteobacteria; Enterobacterales; Enterobacteriaceae.